ACAACUCUUAGAGGUGGAUAACUCGGGGUCGUGCGUU
This 37-nucleotide ribosomal RNA is filed under the name Parapristipoma trilineatum (chicken grunt). RNAcentral describes it as "partial 5.8S rRNA". The record is from RNAcentral. Lineage: Eukaryota; Metazoa; Chordata; Actinopteri; Lutjaniformes; Haemulidae.